RNAcentral lists this non-coding RNA (177 nucleotides) under bovine gut metagenome. The record is from RNAcentral.
AGUGGCGCAUCGCUGCUUCGGAUUAAAAGGGAAUCAGGUGAAAGUCCUGGACAGUCCCGCUGCUGUGAAGCUCGUUCAUACUCUCUGGCACAUGCUACUUGCCACUGACCUCUCAGUGAUGAAAGGUUGGGAAGGCGUCAGAGAGUGAGUCAGUCAGAAGACCUGCCAUUCAUUAAA